Molecule: long non-coding RNA, 1551 nt
Filed under: Marmota monax (woodchuck)
Lineage: Eukaryota; Metazoa; Chordata; Mammalia; Rodentia; Sciuridae
Source: RNAcentral
GCUGUGGUUUCCAGGAUGCACUUGACUUCCCAUCCUUUAUAACCUGGAGCAAUUUUUCUGUAAGUAGGUCACUUGCUUGCUCUCAUUUACCUGAUUCUAGGAACAUGCCCUUGGAAGAAUUUUGGAAGAGAUUCUGUAUUGGUACUUAACAUAUUAAAAAUUAAGAUUGCAUGAAUUCUUUCUCUGAUCCUCUUUCUCUAUUAGCCAGAAUAACUUGUAAACUUGAAGCAUAAAUGAACAAGAAGAAUUUCAGAUCUUUUGUUUUCUAAGCACAAGUUCACUUAAAGUCUAUGUACAUUCUGUUAGCUCCUGUGAUUCACUAUGUUUAGCAUUGGCAUGGUGCUUAGUUCCCAAAAUCACAGUUUGAGUCUGCACUCUAUCAGAUAUGAACUUCUCAGGAAAAGAGGGUGUCUAGUAGUAGGAGGAGUUUAAUUAAUAAAAUUAAUAAUUUUUGUUUGUUUUUUCAUACUGGGGAUUUUUUACCAGGGAUACUUUACCACUGAACUACAUCCCCAACCCUUUCUGUUCUGUAUUUUAAUUUAUUGGUACUGUGGAUUUACCAAGGGGUGCUUAACCAUUGAGCCACAUCCCUAACCUUUUCUAUUUUUUAUUUUGAGACAGAAUUUCUCUAAAUUGCUUAGAACCUGGCUAAGUUGCUGAGGCUGGCUUUGAACUUUUGACCCUCCUUGCCUCUGCCUCCUAAAUUGCUGGGAUCACAGGUGUUUGCCAUUGUGCCCAGCCCAGCUUAUUUUCUUAUUUUGAGACAGGGUCUCACUAAAUUGAGGAGACUGGCUUAGAACUUUACCUUAGCCUCCUGAAUUGCUGGAGAUUACAGGCAUGCACCACUAUGCUCGCCAGUAAAUGUCUUUUUUUUUGGUCUUUCAAAAUUUGACAUAUUUAAUAGAUAAUUUCAGGCCCUAUUGCUAUAGAUUUAACCUCUGGAGAGAAGUAUGGCGGUGGAGUGGAGGAAUGAUAAAUGGUAAAAAGUAGAACAGGUAAAGAAAUAAUUUUACUGACCGCAAUUAUUAUUGCCCUAUCAUGACAGGUCUGCUCUUGAUGCGUCCAUCAGAAACAGAAUCAGAAUGAUUUCCAGGCUUAAGAACAUGGACUUUGGCGGAACUAGGGAUAUAGCUCAGUUGGCAGAGUGCUUGCCUCUGAUGCACAAGGCCCUAGGUGUAAUUCCCAGCACACACACACACACACACACACACACACAACAACAACAACAACAACAUGGAUCUUUGCCACAGUCUGGCUGGGCACAAAUCACGAGCCACCACACAGCUUGUAGAUUCAAACAGCAACUCUUUAUUCCCGAACUCACACCAGCCGUCUACAAUCACGUUCUGGGGAAAUCCACGUUCUCUGCCCAAAUCCACCUCCACUGGGCUUCUAUCUCCCAAAAUAUACUGUCUGAAUCCCUUGAGAACUCAAGGGGAACUCAGGCAGCAGGAUACGCCCUAUUCCCAGCAGGAAUAAUCUUAAACCUGGAACGCCCUAAACCCGAUUAUCCUAAACCGGGAACACCCUAAUCCGCCCUGGUCCUUGAGC